This 253-nucleotide ribosomal RNA is filed under the name uncultured bacterium. RNAcentral's name for it is "partial 16S ribosomal RNA". It matches the Rfam family "Bacterial small subunit ribosomal RNA", at positions 524 to 776 of the family's 1533-position model. The record is from RNAcentral.
UACGUAUGGUGCAAGCGUUAUCCGGAUUUACUGGGUGUAAAGGGAGCGCAGGCGGCGCGGCAAGCCUGAUGUGAAAGCCCGCGGCCCAACCGCGGGACUGCAUUGGGAACUACCGGGCUGGAACGCCGGAGAGGUAGGCGGAAUUCCUAGUGUAGCGGUGAAAUGCGUAGAUAUUAGGAGGAACACCAGUGGCGAACGCGGCCUACUGGACGGUGACUGACGCUGAGGCUCGAAAGCGUGGGGAGCAAACAGG